Ornithorhynchus anatinus (platypus) is the source of this 138-nucleotide non-coding RNA. The record is from Rfam. Lineage: Eukaryota; Metazoa; Chordata; Mammalia; Monotremata; Ornithorhynchidae.
NNCCUCUCAGGGUCACACCUGGAGAGUUUCCAGUACUCUAUCAGUCUUGACUACAGGAGGGAGAGUCAAACAGAGGCAUACCCUUUCCAUUCCUAGCUUGUCCAGUGGCUAGCAAGUGGAAGACAAUCUGCUACAAGA